GAUACCUCCUUCACUGGGCUGUUUUAGUUGGAACGAUGUCACACACAGGAGUACCUGGGACCACGUGGGUGCCCAGGGGAUGGCGGGACCGUCGUGGGACUGAGGGCAGUUACUAUGAGUCCAGCACUGGGAGCAUGGAGAUGAAUAAAACAGAAUUCCUGCCCUCAAGUUCUCAGGAAGAGGCAGAGAGACACAUGGAGAGAACACCCAUGUGAGGGCAGAGACUGAGACUGGAGUGACGCAUCUACCAGCCAAGGAACAACAAGUUGCCACCAGGAGCCAGGAGAGAGGCAUGGGGCUGAUUCUCCUCAGGCUUCCACAAGGGAACAACUGUGCGAACGUCUUGUUUUUGGAUUUCUUGCUUCCAGCACUGUGAGAGAAUAAACUUCUGUUGUUUAAA
Delphinapterus leucas (beluga whale) is the source of this 400-nucleotide non-coding RNA. The record is from RefSeq and is a predicted model, not a curated record. NCBI's taxonomy places the organism in Eukaryota, Metazoa, Chordata, Mammalia, Artiodactyla, Monodontidae.